RNAcentral lists this ribosomal RNA (253 nucleotides) under uncultured bacterium. Its description in RNAcentral is "partial 16S ribosomal RNA". It matches the Rfam family "Bacterial small subunit ribosomal RNA", at positions 524 to 776 of the family's 1533-position model. The record is from RNAcentral.
UACGAAGGGGGCUAGCGUUGCUCGGAAUCACUGGGCGUAAAGGGCGCGUAGGCGGCCGAUUAAGUCGGGGGUGAAAGCCUGUGGCUCAACCACAGAAUUGCCUUCGAUACUGGUUGGCUUGAGACCGGAAGAGGACAGCGGAACUGCGAGUGUAGAGGUGAAAUCCGUAGAUAUUCGCAAGAACACCAGUGGCGAAGGCGGCUGUCUGGUCCGGUUCUGACGCUGAGGCGCGAAAGCGUGGGGAGCAAACAGG